UAUGAGUCACUGCGGAUGGAACUCUUGUUUGGAAAGUAUUAGCAUGGGAGUUCCCAUAGCAUCUUGGCCUGUCCAUGUUGACCAGCCUUAUAACAGAGUGUUCAUAACAAACGUGUUGAAGAUUGGAAUCUCCGUGUGGAAAUGGAGUCGCAGAGAGGAAACAGUACCAGCUGCAGCAAUUGAGAAAGCUGUCAAGACGUUGAUGGGUACGCCAGAAG
Molecule: unclassified non-coding RNA, 218 nt
Filed under: Hevea brasiliensis (rubber tree)
Lineage: Eukaryota; Viridiplantae; Streptophyta; Magnoliopsida; Malpighiales; Euphorbiaceae
Source: RNAcentral